RNAcentral lists this ribosomal RNA (478 nucleotides) under uncultured Methylomirabilota bacterium. Its description in RNAcentral is "bacterial SSU rRNA". It matches the Rfam family "Bacterial small subunit ribosomal RNA", at positions 364 to 832 of the family's 1533-position model. The record is from RNAcentral. Lineage: Bacteria; Methylomirabilota (SeqCode).
UUUCGCAAUGCCCGAAAGGGUGACGAAGCGACGCCGCGUGAGCGAAGAAGGCCUUAGGGUUGUAAAGCUCUGUCAGGGGUUAUGAAAUGUAAAUGGGCUAAUACCUCAUUUAUUUGACAAAGGCCCCAAAGGAAGCCACGGCUAACUCUGUGCCAGCAGCCGCGGUAAUACAGAGGUGGCAAGCGUUGUUCGGUAUUAUUGGGCGUAAAGAGCACGUAGGUUGUUUUGUAAGUCAGGUGUGAAAGCCUUCUGUUCAAAGGAAGAACGGCAUCUGAAACUGCAAAUCUUGAGUGUAGGAGGGGAGAGUGGAACUUCUGGUGGAGCGGUGAAAUGCGUAGAUAUCAGAAGGAACGCCGGCGGCGAAAGCGAUUCUCUGGCCUAUUACUGACACUCAGUGUGCGAAAGCUAGGGGAGCAAACGGGAUUAGAUACCCCGGUAGUCCUAGCCGUAAACGAUGGGCACUAAGUAGAGGGGUUUU